Long non-coding RNA from Herpailurus yagouaroundi (jaguarundi), 1933 nucleotides. RefSeq lists it as uncharacterized. The record is from RefSeq and is a predicted model, not a curated record. The transcript has 2 exons. NCBI's taxonomy places the organism in Eukaryota, Metazoa, Chordata, Mammalia, Carnivora, Felidae.
GCUGCCUCGCGGAGGGCGGAGUGUCGGGCGCUUCUUCGGGGCCCUCGGGCCGGGCCGGGGUCGGUGCCCAGCGGGCCAGCCCCUCCCGGGCUCCCGGGGGUCUCCUGCGGGGCGCAGUUGUGUCCUCGCGCCGCUCCAGUUGUGGCCUGGACACCUCCGCUCGCUUUGUUUCCCUUUUCUUAACGAUGACAGUCGAGUGCCCGAAAACCGUCGUUGGUUACAUUUUGUCUGAUCUUUUACUUGUUGGAGAUGGGCCUAAGCUACUGCACGUAGGCAGAGCGCACGCUUGCGUCUUCUGAAAACCUGGUCAAGCCCCUCUCCAUGGUGCUGUUCGGUGCCCUCUGCGAGGGCACUCACAUGACUGAUUUAUUCUCGAGUUUCUCAAGCAUGAACCGAGUGUUCUGGGAGUAGUGUGAAGAGAGAGGACGGUGGAAGACGAGUGACGGCUGGGGGUGUACGUAGACGGGCAGAUGUGCUUCUUUGCUGUGCUUAGUCCCGCAGGGGAGGAUGUGGAUGCACCUACGGUGCACAAGCUCUGCCUCUGCUCUGCCUAAAACCAAGCUGCCGUGUGCGGCACCGUAUUGAAGGGAUGUGUGCAUAAACACUGUGACGAGAAGGGUGACGGUGCCUGCACGCCUCACGGGAGGGGUCCAGGGAUGGGAGGCUAGUCACGUGGGAAACAUUUCUAUGGAGGGGAAUCCAAUAUUGCCUCUUGCCCGUGGAGGAGACGAUGCCGAGAAAGCGUCGACACUCUGGAAUGGCAGCUGGAGUUUGUGUGCUGCUUGGGGGUGAGGUUUUGCCACGAUCACCCUAGAGACAAGUCCCGGACAGUGAUGUUGGGAACCUAUGGAUCUCGGGUACGUCCUGCCCACGGGGUUUGAGUUUGCCCGUCUGCGUGGCCUCCACCAGACCCCUACGUGGAUGGGAAUGGUUUGGCUGCCUCGACACCCUCCUUCUUUCCUAUUUAAUAUCUCGGUACUCUCCAACUUCUCCUUUGUCAUCUACAAAAUGCUCUUUAUCCUACACGAUGCAUGUUCCGUGCCUACCUGUGUUCACGCAGUCCUUGAUGCUGAAAAUAUCCGUAAGGAGCCGAAGCCAAUGGCACUGGGUCCGUCUUCCUCCUUAAUAUAACGUUCAGUGUUGAAAGCAUCACCGAGAACAGGUGUCCUUCCGUUUGUUUCUCGUAAUCUUUAGUAUUGCCUUUAGCUUUCUAACCCUUCUAGAUUUAUUACUGAUCUCUGGUUUUAAUCUUGCUUCUGCCCAGCUACUUCCCUUUUUCAAAUAACUCAAAAUCCUUGUCUGUAUUUUGUGACACGUGAGGUUCAGCAGUUGUUGGGAGAUCUGCUGUCUCUCCUUGUCCCACAGCAGCGGUCACUGUAGAAACGCAGAUGUACUGGUGGGAAUUUCUAAAGUAUUUUCUCUCCUAGAGAUUAUACUAGACUUUUGUCUUAUGUUUGGUAAAGAAAGAAAAAAGAGCCGAAGGCGAGUUGCUUUAACUCCUGUGGCAAAAUGCAUGCAUGUGUUUUUAUAUCUGUGACCAGAGGCACAAUGAUUGCAUCAUUCCUGUUCACGGUACCAUAGUGGUAAAGUAACACCGAUGAAAAUACUCGUGCACUGGAGAAAUGGGGAGGAAUCAUCUUACUUCGGUUCCUUGUCUGUAGAGUCGUGGGUAUAACAGAAGAGCUCUGUUAAAAACUUGUUUUCUGAACAGAAGGUGGAGCACGUUCGUGCUUUAUUGUGGAAUCCAGGAUAUUUGGAAGCAAUUUAUCACUUUGGUAAAGAGCGGUGUCCUGUUAUGAUCUAAGGACAGACGUGAUAAAGAUAUUCAUGCUAAAAAAUGCUGUGACCACAAUGUGCCAGGCGUUGAAAAAAUCUUGUCAAAAGCAAUUAGUACAUAUUCAUUGUAUUAAAGGAGUUUGAUUGGGUAAUGUGA